RNAcentral lists this RNase P RNA (271 nucleotides) under Chloroflexota bacterium. RNAcentral describes it as "partial RNase P RNA component class A". It matches the Rfam family "Bacterial RNase P class A", at positions 150 to 367 of the family's 367-position model. Rfam says of the family: Ribonuclease P (RNase P) is a ubiquitous endoribonuclease, found in archaea, bacteria and eukarya as well as chloroplasts and mitochondria. Its best characterised activity is the generation of mature 5'-ends of tRNAs by cleaving the 5'-leader elements of precursor-tRNAs. Lineage: Bacteria; Bacillati; Chloroflexota. The record is from RNAcentral.
AAGGGUGAAAUGGUGGUGUAAGAGACCACCGGCGCAGGCAGUAAUGCUUGCGGCCGGGCAACCCCCAUCGGGAGCAAGGCCAAACAGGGAUGAACUCCUUCGGGAGGGGAAGCUGCUCGUUUCCCUUGAAUUCCAGGUAGGCUGCACCGAGGUGCGCUGAGAAGCGCACCCCAGACAGAUGAUCACCUCAGUGAAGUGAAGGGAGGAAGCCCUCCGGGGUGUAAACCGGAUCUACACCAGACAGAAUGCGGCUUAUAAGCUGGCCUGGGAA